Molecule: non-coding RNA, 535 nt
Organism: Drosophila virilis
Lineage: Eukaryota; Metazoa; Arthropoda; Insecta; Diptera; Drosophilidae
Source: RefSeq, a predicted model, not a curated record
UAAGUGUGCUCCAAAAUGUACAAAGGAAGCAGGCCUGAAGUUUUCGACAGUUGGCGACAGUUCGGGCAAGGCCCAAGCGACCGCACCCAGGCCAAUUAAUCAAGGCUAGCAACAAUUUCGGGGGAAGUCUCGGGCAGGGCAGGCAGCUGCAAUUUGAACUUGAAUAACCUUGUAGCAUAAAAAAAAGGAAACGGCGGCGAGACAACAACAACAACAAAAGCAGCUGAAGCAACAAAGAGCAGGACGAGCAUGUGCAGAAGAACAAGGACGAGCUUGAGGAUGAGCACUGCGGAUGGAAACAGAACAGCAGAGAGGCAAAGCGAGCCAGGACAAGCAUCAAGUGACAUUUGAGCAAAGACAAAAAGUCAUUAUCAAGGCGACAGACGAAGAGCAGCAGCAGCAGCAGCAGCAGACGUCUUGGGCUGAUUCUAAAACUUGCUGGACUUCUCUCAUUGUAAAGGAUGCGCAACAUAUAAGGAUGAGACAUAAAGCAGAAACAAAAAACACAAUAAAAGAUGGUUAAAUUUCAAGGCAA